This 619-nucleotide ribosomal RNA is filed under the name uncultured bacterium. RNAcentral's name for it is "bacterial SSU rRNA". It matches the Rfam family "Bacterial small subunit ribosomal RNA", at positions 53 to 676 of the family's 1533-position model. The record is from RNAcentral.
ACAUGCAGUCGAACGGGCCGAUUUAUUUGAAACCUUCGGGUUGAUAAUGAUGAGGUUAGUGGCGGAUGGGUGAGUAACGCGUGGGCAACCUACCCUGUACAGGGGGAUAACAAUGGGAAACCAUUGCUAAUACCCCAUGAUACCUUUUAAGGGCAUCCUUAAAAGGUCAAAGAAUUUCGGUAUAGGAUGGGCCCGCGUCUGAUUAGCUAGUUGGUAGGGUAAUGGCCUACCAAAGCAACGAUCAGUAGCCGGCCUGAGAGGGUGAACGGCCACACUGGAACUGAGACACGGUCCAGACUCCUACGGGAGGCAGCAGUGGGGAAUAUUGCACAAUGGGGGAAACCCUGAUGCAGCAACGCCGCGUGAGCGAUGAAGGCUUUCGAGUCGUAAAGCUCUGUCCUAAGGGAAGAUAAUGACGGUACCUUAGGAGGAAGCCCCGGCUAACUACGUGCCAGCAGCCGCGGUAAUACGUAGGGGGCAAGCGUUAUCCGGAAUUAUUGGGCGUAAAGGGUGCGUAGGCGGCCUUAUGGGUCAGAGGUUAAAUACUACGGCUUAACCGUAGUAUGCCUUUGAAACUAUAGGGCUUGAGUGCAGGAGAGGAGAGUGGAAUUCCUAGUGU